CGGGGUGUGGCUCAGCCUGGUAGAGCGCUGCGUUCGGGACGCAGAAGUCGUCAGUUCAAAUCUGGCCACCCCGACCA
RNAcentral lists this transfer RNA (77 nucleotides) under Janthinobacterium sp. PC23-8. RNAcentral's name for it is "tRNA-Pro". It matches the Rfam family "tRNA". Rfam says of the family: Transfer RNA (tRNA) molecules are approximately 80 nucleotides in length. Their secondary structure includes four short double-helical elements and three loops (D, anti-codon, and T loops). Lineage: Bacteria; Pseudomonadati; Pseudomonadota; Betaproteobacteria; Burkholderiales; Oxalobacteraceae. The record is from RNAcentral.